Cannabis sativa is the source of this 284-nucleotide long non-coding RNA. RefSeq lists it as uncharacterized. NCBI's taxonomy places the organism in Eukaryota, Viridiplantae, Streptophyta, Magnoliopsida, Rosales, Cannabaceae. The transcript has 2 exons. The record is from RefSeq and is a predicted model, not a curated record.
GUGCUUCCAAAAUGCACGCGACUCGAGCCACUCACGACUUAGUUCCGAAGUCAGCAACCAGUGGUGAUUGUGGCGUGUAUUGCAUUGAGUAUGUGGAGCAUCUCAUGAUGCAGCGUGGAUUGACCGAUGUGACGCCAGACCGGAUAGCCAUGUUUCGUCAACGGUGGUGUGUCGAUUUAUUUUACCAAAAUGUCGGCUGAUUAUAUGUGUAAUUAUUGGGACAUUGUAUAUUUUGUGUAAUUAACAUUACAGUUAUGUAUAUAUAGAUUUUCUUUUCGUUCAAA